GUGAGGAAUAUUGCACAAUGGGCGCAAGCCUGAUGCAGCAACGCCGCGUGCGGGACGAAGGCCUUCGGGUCGUAAACCGCUUUUCUGGGGAAAGAGACAGGACGGUACCUCAGGAAUAAGUCUCGGCUAACUACGUGCCAGCAGCCGCGGUAAAACGUAGGAGGCGAGCGUUAUCCGGAUUUACUGGGCGUAAAGCGCACGCAGGCGGCUCUGUAAGUUGGACGUGAAAGCUCUCGGCUUAACCGGGAGAGGCCGUUCGAUACUGCGGGGCUUGAGGUAGGGAGAGGAAUGCGGAAUUCCUGGUGUAGUGGUGGAAUGCGUAGAUAUCAGGAGGAACACCUGUGGCGAAAGCGGCAUUCUGGCCCUCACCUGACGCUGAGGUGCGAAAGCGUGGGUAGCAAACAGGAUUAGAAACCCCGGUAGUCC
This 426-nucleotide ribosomal RNA is filed under the name uncultured bacterium. Its description in RNAcentral is "bacterial SSU rRNA". It matches the Rfam family "Bacterial small subunit ribosomal RNA", at positions 354 to 796 of the family's 1533-position model. The record is from RNAcentral.